AUCCUGCCAGUCUGCUGUUGUCAAAUCACCCCAUGCUAAGAAUACCUCAAGUUUCUGAAGGGAAAGUCAUUGUUUCUGGUGUCUACGGAGCUGCACCCCUGCACCCCACACACGGAAGGCGUGACAAUUAUUGUUCCAGGGGGAGUGAUUCACUGGUUAAGGGAAGCCACAGGCAAAGGAAAGUCUCUGUUAAGAGCCGUGGUGUUACAUCUACCUGCUUGACUUUCUGCCCUUGGCUAUCCCAGGAUGGACUGAACUUGUAAACUCAGAGCAUAUCUGUGGACUCAGGACAUACCUGCUUUACAAGGGAAAGCAUCUCAGGUGAAUGGGUGUGCAUAUGUAUCUACCUGUGUUGUGCCCACUUUGACUCUGUCCCAAGGAUACCAACAACUGAGGCUCUGUUUCCCCCUCACCUGGCCUCUAUCUUGGGCCUUGGCAACUCUGUUUUAGUUGAGCUUCACUGCAGUGCCACACCUUGCGUUUCCUCCUCCAGUCUCCUCUCAGCAAAGAGUCACUGUGUUUGCCUGAACCCCUUCCCCAAAUGCCUGUUUGCUAGAUGGCCUCCAGGUCUUGCGCAUCCCCAUCUGCUCAACGUUAUGCCCAUCAGAUCUUGGUUAAGUCAGUUGGUUUGCCUAAUUUAUAGAUGAUGUCGCCGUCUAAGGCCAACAUGGAGGGCCAGAGGGAACCAGCCUUCAGAAAGCUCCUCCCGUCUUCUGUCUACUUUAGUAAUUCUUAAAUAGCUUCUGUGAACAACCAGCAUGCUCAUAUUAAAUUAAAAUGUGAAUGUCUAUUUUGGAGGAAUUUUGUGUGUUCUGCCUCCCCAGCUCCUGCUACAAGCUCAUCAUCAUACUCUAUAGCUCUGCUUAUUUUGUUGAACUUCCCUUUCACAGAUGGAGAUAUUGAAAGAAUUAUUGAUCACGAAAUACUGAGCAAUCAGGCCUUCCUUCCCACUGUGUGGAAAUACAUCUUUUCAAAGAAUCACCUAAUCACAGUCAUUUGGUCAGAACAAAUUUAUAAUUAUUUUCUUAUUAACGUGAAAGGAGUAACACUGGUAAAUUUUCUAGGUGAAUGAAAGUAAUUCAAUAAGUCAAUUUAAUCUUUCUGUUUGGUUGCACUUUUGGUAAGUUUUAUAGAUCCUUAUUCCUUUUGACAUGAGUACUUUGUUACUUCCGUGAUGGUUAAUUUUGUGUGUCAGCUUGACUGGGCUAAAGGAUGCUCUUAUAGUUGGUAAAACAUUCUGUUUAGAUGUGUCUGCGAGGGAGUUUCUGAAAGAGAUGAGCAUUUGAAUCAAUAGACUAAUGAGGAAGAUGGCCCUCCCCAGUGUGGGUGGGCCUCAUCUGAGUAGUUGAGGGCCUGAAUAGAACAGAAAGGGAAAGGAUAGGCAAAUUUAUUAUUAUUUAUUAUUUAUUUUUUCUUGCUCAAGCUGAACUCGGGCAUGUGUCUUCUCCUGACUUAGACAUCAGUGUUCCUAGGGCUUAGGUCUUUGGACUCAGAUUAGAUUACACCCCUGGCUUUGGUGGCUAUCCAAGAUGCAGAAGAAGAUCAUGAGCCCUCCUGGCCUCCAUAAUUAUGCCAGCAAAUUCCUAUAAUAAAUCUGUGUAUGUGUGUGUCUAUAUAAUUAUAACAACAUAUUAUGUAAUUAUACAACACAUAUUUAUAUUUGUUUAAUAUAUAACAUAUACAAUAUAAUAUCCCCCCCUCCCCAUUUUUAUUUCUGUUUCCUCACAAGGAAACUCAGUAUUUCGGUGACGAUGAUACCACUUUAAACACAUGGAAUUAUUGACAUGAAACACUUUUUUUUUCUAUUGCAAUUUAAAAAUAUAUAUAAAGACACCUUUUAAGGUCAUAAAUUGACCUCAUUAACCCAUUCUAAUGCCACCAUUCACCAUUUGGGGGGUGCCUUCUAAGAACCAGCUGGGCUCCUCUUCCCUUAGAAGCAAGGAGUCAGUACUCUUCAGGUAAGUUAUCUCAAGUACAACAAAGGCUACGGUAUUCAACAACAGCACCGGAUAACAAGGCUAAGUGGAUCAUAUAAGUAGAGUGUACCUGUAUGUGUUAAAAAGACUUCCUUUUAGUUUCUUCUAGGCUGUAGUAAGAAAUAAAAUGAUGCUAAUAUUCAUAAGUCACUUAAGCAGCUUUAAAGUUAAAUCAUUGUUUUGAACUCUCAUCUCAGAGCCAUACCUAUAGUCCGUUGAGUGAAUAGCAAGGAAGUCUAAUAAGAGAGAUCAAGAACACCUAAGUCUAUUUUAGCUACAUGAUAGGGUCAAGAGGGCAGGGGGCACAAAAAAUUGGUAAAAAUCUUACCUUUGAGGUAAAUGAGGUGAAUCUUGAAUGCCAUAUUGGGACACAUCAAUUUUCUUCGAUGAGUAAGGGUAAUAUACAGGAGUUUUAAAAUAGGAGAAAUGAGAUAGAGAAGUCUUUGGUGGUGGUGAUAUAAGGGUUUACCAAAGUGGCAGAAAGUUUUGGGGCAUUCAAGGAGUUAUUUUGGCCAGAGGUGUUGGAGGCUUGAGUUGGAAAAAUGGCAAUGGGAACAGCAGAAUGAGCUGGUAUUGAUGGGAUUUGAUGGUGAGCUGUACUAGGACAUUUGUCAAAAAGAAUAAAUAAAUGAUCCCACGGAGAUGCCUGGUAACUUGGUGGUUGGUGCCUUGCUAAAACAGACCAGAAAGGAAAACUGGCACAUGUGGAAUAUCCAUUGGGCCAUAUCUUGUGUGCAGAUGAAAAUAUGGUGUGGGUUUGAGGAGAGACCUCAGUCCUAGCAACACAGAUGAUUCUCAGCACCUUAGAAGUUGUUGAGAAUGUUCAGGAAAGGUUGAAAAAGAGAAAGAGAAGGCAGAAAGUGGGGGAAGGCAUCCCUCUAAGGGAGGAUAGAAGACAAUGUGAGAGUCAGAAGGAAGAUCUGAGAGGCCAGGGGGAAAUGAGAAAGUGGAGACUCAAAGGCUAAGAGCACAAGGGUUUCAAGGGGUGGAAGUGGGUUACAAUUAGAAAUAAGAAAAAACAAUUAUAGAGGAUGACAAUCAAAGAGAAGGUGUUGGGGAUCCCUGGGUGGCGCAGCGGUUUGGUGCCUGCCUUUGGCCCAGGGCGUGAUCCUGGAGACCCGGGAUUGAAUCCCACGUCGGGCUCCCGGUGCGUGGAGCCUGCUUCUUCCUCUGCCUGUGUCUCUGCCUCUCUCUUUCUCUCUCUGAUGACUAUCAUAA
Molecule: long non-coding RNA, 3194 nt
Filed under: Canis lupus familiaris (dog)
Lineage: Eukaryota; Metazoa; Chordata; Mammalia; Carnivora; Canidae
Description: lncRNA (ENSCAFG00845003152.1)
Source: RNAcentral